Rattus norvegicus (Norway rat) is the source of this 1113-nucleotide non-coding RNA. NCBI's taxonomy places the organism in Eukaryota, Metazoa, Chordata, Mammalia, Rodentia, Muridae. The record is from RefSeq and is a predicted model, not a curated record.
UCACCCCAAUAUCACCCCACUGUCAUCCCACUAUCACCCCACUACUUGUCCUCCAGGGAUUGGUGGAGAAUGAAUCACCUCACUAGCAUGGUACCACCCCUCAUUAGCAUAUUACUGGCCUACUGACACCAGGUGCAAAACCUGCGCAUGCACAGUACCGUUGUUCACCAGUUGAGGGCGCCCUACACCCAUGCCCUACUGGCUCUGUUCCAGAGGAAGGAAACGGCGUCAUACUGCCCCUUGUAUGACCAAGCUGGACUCAGCAAGAGGCCAUAGGUGAAAAUGCAGCCUUAGUAUCAGUCGAAGACCCAGGACUGAAGAAAUCAUGCAAAGAAGAUAAGUGUUGGCACCAUGAAGAGAGCAUAUAAGAGGUUACUAGUGAAAGUGCAGGCAAGGUCAACUAGAAGUCUCUAUCAUUUCGGAGAUGCCAAUACUGUGGGAUGACCACCAAGUACAGCAGCAGCAGAAGUUGUGUGCCAGAAUCUGUGAAAGUGAAGCCUGGGUCACCUUGGAGACCUCAAGUUGUUAGAGACCCCAGAGCAAUGGGACACCUGCCAAGGAAAGUUGCUAAUAGGGAAUGGAUCCAGCCCAAGAGAAAAGAAUUGUGUUGCAGUCAACGAAGUGGAAGAUAGUUGGAAAUCGGAAGAGCACUUUGACAUCAGACAUGUAGACACAGAAUUUGAAUUCUCCCAGCUGGUUUUUAGCCUUGCUUUGAAAUUGUCUUUUACCACAUGACAAGUCCGUUAUGCACCUUCGCCUGCACUGUGCCAUCGAACAGUCUAUCUGUGAGGCUUAAUGAAGACAAGAAUUCUAUAAAGGGUGAUUAUGAGGAUGCACUGACUCUUUCCAUCAAAUAUCUUCUAGUUUCAAAGUAUCAAGUAUUCACACAUCUUUUAAAGCUUUAGGAACUGGAAUUCACAGAGAAAAUAUGAACUGACAUUUAAAUAAAUGAGCAUUCAUCUCUUGUAUGGAAGAUAAACUUCAGAAGAUGUUUUGUAUGUUUUGACUUAAUUGUGAUGGUCAUCAAUUUAUUUCUACUAGAUUUAUGUAAACCGACAUAUUUUAAUUGAAAUAUAUUUUUAAUGUUAAUAAAUGAGAAUAUUAAUAUUUUAA